Molecule: ribosomal RNA, 1635 nt
Filed under: Triticum aestivum (bread wheat)
Lineage: Eukaryota; Viridiplantae; Streptophyta; Magnoliopsida; Poales; Poaceae
Description: partial small subunit ribosomal RNA
Source: RNAcentral
AUGUCACCGAUCUCGCUGGUUGGCCCGACGCCGGCCGACCACGAGAGCUCCGGCCGGUUAGAGAAUCUUCUCCGUGAGGCCGGCCUGUACGAGACCUCCGAUGAGCUGGCGGUCCGCGAGGAGGUGCUGCGCGAUCUCCAAGCCAUCGUCGACCGGUGGGUGAAGCGCGUCACCGCUCAGCGAGGGUUUCCCCACGGCAUGGCUGAGCAGGCCACCGCCCUUCUGAUUCCCUUCGGUUCCUACCGUCUCGGCGUUCACGGCCGCGGCUCCGACAUCGACGCCCUCGUCGUCGGCCCCUCCUACAUCGACCGCGACCGCGACUUCUUCGCCGUGCUUGGCGGCGUGCUGGCGGAGACGGAGGCCGUGACGGAGCUGCAGCCUGUGCCUCGCGCGCACGUGCCCGUCAUCAAGAUGAGCUUCCGCGGCGUGCAGGUGGACCUCCUCUACGCCGGCGUGUGCCUGCCCGUGGUGCCCAGGGACCUCGACCUGCGCGACCGCUCCGUUUUCCGCGGCAUGGACCUGGCCUCCGCGCGCAGCCUCAACGGCGUGCGCGUCGCCGACGAGCUCCUGCGUCUCGUCCCGGACGCCGGCGCCUUCCGCACGACGCUGCGGUGCAUCAAGCACUGGGCCAAGGCGCGGGGCGUCUACUCCAACGUGAUGGGGUUCCUCGGCGGCGUGGGCUGGGCGAUCCUGGUGGCGCGCGUGUGCCAGCUCUACCCCAACGCCGCGCCGAGCAUGCUGGUGCCGCGCUUCUUCAAGAUCUUCGCGCAGUGGAAGUGGCCCAACCCGGUGCUGCUGCGGGACAUCGAGCACGACGACGGCGGCGAGCUCGCGCUCCGGCUGCCCGUCUGGGACCCGCGGCGGAACCCGCGCGACAAGAGCCACAUCAUGCCCGUCAUCACGCCGGCCUACCCAUGCAUGAACUCGUGCUACAACGUCUCGCACCCCACCCUGCGGACCAUCACGGAGCAGCUCCAGAUCGGCAACGGCAUCUGCCAGGAGAUCCUCAAGGGCGGCGGCGCCGGCGGGUGGGACGCGCUGUUCCAGCCGUUCCAGUUCUUCAAGGCGUACAAGAGCUACCUGCAGGUGGACGUGAAGGUCGCCGGAGGGGAGGCCGACCUCCGGGAGUGGAAGGGGUGGGUGGAGUCGCGGCUGAGGCAGCUGGUGAACAGGGUCGAGAUGGCCACGGCAAGCAUGCUGCUCUGCCAUCCCAACCCGAAAGCCUACGCCGCCAAACCCCAUGAUCUCCACUGCACGUCAACCUUCUUCGUGGGCUUGUCCAAGCCACAGCAGCAGCAGCAGCCCCAGGUGCCGUUCGACCUACGCGUGACGACGGAGGGGUUCAAGCAGGAGGUGUACACGUACGAGUUCUGGAGGCCCGGGAUGGAGCUGGAGGUCUCGCACACCCGGAGGAGGGACCUGCCGUCCUACGUGCUCGAGCAGAUCCUCCCGGCUGGGCAUCUCAAGAGGAAGCGCGUCGCCGAGAACAACUCUUCUCCUCCGUUGUCGUCUGCUUCCGGCGAGGUCAAGAAGGUGGCGGCGGCCGGCGGAACCGGAUCGGCGCCUGAGAGGAAGAGGCAAUGCUGUCCCAGCAGCAACAUCCUUCCCAGCGCUUCAGUACAGGGCGUUGUGUGA